This 450-nucleotide ribosomal RNA is filed under the name uncultured bacterium. RNAcentral describes it as "bacterial SSU rRNA". It matches the Rfam family "Bacterial small subunit ribosomal RNA", at positions 28 to 478 of the family's 1533-position model. The record is from RNAcentral.
GAUGAACGCUGGCGGCGUGCUUAACACAUGCAAGUCGAACGAAGCACCUUGAUUUGAUUCUUCGGAUGAAGAUCCUGGUGACUGAGUGGCGGACGGGUGAGUAACGCGUGGGUAACCUGCCUCAUACAGGGGGAUAACAGUUAGAAAUGACUGCUAAUACCGCAUAAGACCACAGCACCGCAUGGUGCAGGGGUAAAAACUCCGGUGGUAUGAGAUGGACCCGCGUCUGAUUAGGUAGUUGGUGGGGUAACGGCCUACCAAGCCGACGAUUAGUAGCCGACCUGAGAGGGUGACCGGCCACAUUGGGACUGAGACACGGCCCAAACUCCUACGGGAGGCAGCAGUGGGGAAUAUUGCACAAUGGGGGAAACCCUGAUGCAGCGACGCCGCGUGAGCGAUGAAGUAUUUCGGUAUGUAAAGCUCUAUCAGCAGGGAAGAAAAUGACGGUAC